AUAUAAUUUAAGGUGAAUUCUGCCCAGUGAUAUAUUUUAACGGCCGCAGUACUUUGACUGUGCUAAGGUAGCAUAAUAAAUUGUCUUUUAAUUAAAGACUGGAAUAAAUGGACUUUUGAUUGACAACUGUUUCUACAAGUUUUUUAUUAAUUUACUUAAAAGGUGAAAAUACCUUUAUAAAUUUUAAAGACGAGAAGACCCUUAGAGUUUUUAUAAUAUUAUAUUUUUUAAUUCAUUUUUGUUGGGGCGACAUAGAAACAGAAAAUAUUAACUUUCUACUUCUAUUAAUAUUUAUUAAUUUUUUUAAAGCUAAAUAAACUACCUAAGGGAUAACAGCAUAAUUAUUAUAUUAGAUUGUGACCUCGAUGUUGGACUAAGGACUUAUAUGCUAACCGUUUAAUAAGAUAGUUCUGUUCGAAC
Molecule: ribosomal RNA, 420 nt
Filed under: Kootenaia burkei
Lineage: Eukaryota; Metazoa; Mollusca; Gastropoda; Stylommatophora; Arionidae
Description: partial 16S ribosomal RNA
Rfam family: Eukaryotic large subunit ribosomal RNA (bases 1-114)
Source: RNAcentral